CGUGCUUUUGUUUUGAAGUCCGAAAACCGGAAGUGGUCCCCUCUCGGAACCAUUUUGCGUCUCGUCGUCUCGUGUUCCUGAGAAAGCGUGUGAGCUCCAGCUGAUCCAUGGAGCGCCCCCUGCUGUCCGCGGUGCUCCAGCCUCAGCUCCAGGUCCACAGAGCAGACGUCCAGCAGCUGCUGGUUAAAGAAGAGGUUCCCCCUGAGCAGCAGGAGUGGAGCUCCAGUCUGGACCAGGAGGACCC
Molecule: long non-coding RNA, 244 nt
Organism: Trematomus bernacchii (emerald rockcod)
Lineage: Eukaryota; Metazoa; Chordata; Actinopteri; Perciformes; Nototheniidae
Exons: 3
Source: RefSeq, a predicted model, not a curated record